UGGGGAAUAUUGCACAAUGGGCACAAGCCUGAUGCAGCCAUGCCGCGUGUAUGAAGAAGGCCUUCUGGUUGUAAAGUACUUUCAGUCGGGAGGAAGGUGGUAAGGUUAAUAACCUUGGCAAUUGACGUUACCGACAGAAGAAGCACCGGCUAACUCCGUGCCAGCAGCCGCGGUAAUACGGAGGGUGCAAGCGUUAAUCGGAAUUACUGGGCGUAAAGCGCACGCAGGCGGUUGAUUGAGUCAGAUGUGAAAUCCCCGGGCUUAACCCGGGAAUUGCAUCUGAUACUGGUCAGCUAGAGUCUUGUAGAGGGGGGUAGAAUUCCAUGUGUAGCGGUGAAAUGCGUAGAGAUGUGGAGGAAGACCGGUGGCGAAGGCGGCCCCCUGGACAAAGACUGACGCUCAGGUGCGAAAGCGUGGGGAGCAAACAGG
RNAcentral lists this ribosomal RNA (429 nucleotides) under Chloroflexota bacterium. RNAcentral's name for it is "Chloroflexi bacterium partial 16S ribosomal RNA". It matches the Rfam family "Bacterial small subunit ribosomal RNA", at positions 355 to 776 of the family's 1533-position model. The record is from RNAcentral. Lineage: Bacteria; Bacillati; Chloroflexota.